Molecule: ribosomal RNA, 292 nt
Filed under: uncultured bacterium
Lineage: Bacteria
Description: partial 16S ribosomal RNA
Source: RNAcentral
GGACUACUCGGGUAUCUAAUCCUGUUUGCUCCCCUUGCUUUCGCGCAUUAGCGUCAGGUAUAAGCUAGAAAACCGCCUUCGCCACUGGUGUUCUUCCACAUAUCUACGCAUUUCACCGCUACUUGUGGAAUUCCAUUUUCUCCGCCUACCCUCUAGAAUGACAGUUUCAAAUGCUGUUCCGGGGUUGAGCCCCGGGCUUUCACAUCUGACUUAUCUUCCCGCCUACGCGCCCUUUACGCCCAAUAAAUCCGAUUAAUGCUCGCACCCUACGUAUUACCGCGGCUGCUGGCAC